RNAcentral lists this ribosomal RNA (376 nucleotides) under uncultured bacterium. RNAcentral's name for it is "bacterial SSU rRNA". It matches the Rfam family "Bacterial small subunit ribosomal RNA", at positions 29 to 431 of the family's 1533-position model. The record is from RNAcentral.
AGCGAACGCUGGCGGCAGGCUUAACACAUGCAAGUCGAGCGGGCGUAGCAAUACGUCAGCGGCAGACGGGUGAGUAACGCGUGGGAACGUACCUUUUGGUUCGGAACAACACAGGGAAACUUGUGCUAAUACCGGAUAAGCCCUUACGGGGAAAGAUUUAUCGCCGAAAGAUCGGCCCGCGUCUGAUUAGCUAGUUGGUGUGGUAACGGCGCACCAAGGCGACGAUCAGUAGCUGGCUGAGAGGAUGAUCAGCCACAUUGGGACUGAGACACGGCCCAAACUCCUACGGGAGGCAGCAGUGGGGAAUAUUGGACAAUGGACGCAAGCCUGAUCCAGCCAUGCCGCGUGAGUGAUGAAGGCCCUAGGGUUGUAAAGC